This is an unclassified non-coding RNA of Pongo abelii (Sumatran orangutan), 148 nucleotides long. It matches the Rfam family "Metazoan signal recognition particle RNA". Rfam says of the family: The signal recognition particle (SRP) is a universally conserved ribonucleoprotein. It is involved in the co-translational targeting of proteins to membranes. Lineage: Eukaryota; Metazoa; Chordata; Mammalia; Primates; Hominidae. The record is from Ensembl.
GCUGGGCGUGGUGGUGCAUGCCUGUAAUCCCAGCUACUUGGGAGCCUGAGGCAGGAGAAUCGCUUGAACCUGGGAGGCAGAGGUUGCGGUGAGCCGAGAUCAUGCCACUGCACUCCAGCCUGGGUGACAGAGCAAGACCCUGUCUCAA